Molecule: long non-coding RNA, 279 nt
Organism: Caenorhabditis elegans
Lineage: Eukaryota; Metazoa; Nematoda; Chromadorea; Rhabditida; Rhabditidae
Gene: linc-13
Product: ncRNA
Source: Ensembl
AUUCUUUGCCUUCCACAGGAUAACCUGAAAGAUGUCCUACUCAGAAUGGGAGUUCUUGAGCAAUUUUCACGGCGCAUUUUUCUCUACAUUGUCGUAAACUUUUUCAAGAUUGUGCAUGCAAAAGUGCGUCGCGGUGUUUGCGUCUAAUGCGCACACAUUGUCGACCGUAGUAAACACUUUUUAGUCGUUUUUUUUUCUACAGAAAUGAGGAUUUCAGUGGUUUUUAUUGAUUUUAAUGAAACAAAAUUCAUAGAAUAUUAAUAAAAUAUUUAUUAUUUG